AUGUUUGAUUUAUCACUAUGUAUACUAAAAUUGGAGCAGCACAGAGAAGAUUAAUUGGGCUCCUGUGCAAGGAUGGUUGACACAUUUGUGAAUCAUUCCAUACUUUG
Molecule: small nuclear RNA, 107 nt
Organism: Trichechus manatus latirostris (Florida manatee)
Lineage: Eukaryota; Metazoa; Chordata; Mammalia; Sirenia; Trichechidae
Source: RefSeq, a predicted model, not a curated record